ACGGAAGGCAGCAGUGGGGGAUAUUGCACAAUGGGGGAAACCCUGAUGCAGCGACGCCGCGUGAGCGAAGAAGUAUUUCGGUAUGUAAAGCUCUAUCAGCAGGGAAGAAAAUGACGGUACCUGACUAAGAAGCUCCGGCUAAAUACGUGCCAGCAGCCGCGGUAAUGCGUAUGGAGCAAGCGUUAUCCGGAUUUACUGGGUGUAAAGGGAGCGUAGACGGUUUGCCAAGUCUGAUGUGAAAGGUGGGGGCUCAACCCCCAAACUGCAUUGGAAACUGGUAGACUAGAGUGUCGGAGAGGUAAGUGGAAUUCCUAGUGUAGCGGUGAAAUGCGUAGAUAUUAGGAGGAACACCAGUGGCGAAGGCGGCUUACUGGACGAUAACUGACGUUGAGGCUCGAAAGCGUGGGGAGCAAACAGGAUUAGAUACCCUGGUA
This 434-nucleotide ribosomal RNA is filed under the name uncultured Lachnospiraceae bacterium. RNAcentral's name for it is "partial 16S ribosomal RNA". It matches the Rfam family "Bacterial small subunit ribosomal RNA", at positions 341 to 792 of the family's 1533-position model. The record is from RNAcentral. Lineage: Bacteria; Bacillati; Bacillota; Clostridia; Lachnospirales; Lachnospiraceae.